This 761-nucleotide ribosomal RNA is filed under the name Prevotella melaninogenica. RNAcentral describes it as "bacterial SSU rRNA". It matches the Rfam family "Bacterial small subunit ribosomal RNA", at positions 28 to 776 of the family's 1533-position model. Lineage: Bacteria; Pseudomonadati; Bacteroidota; Bacteroidia; Bacteroidales; Prevotellaceae. The record is from RNAcentral.
GAUGAACGCUAGCUACAGGCUUAACACAUGCAAGUCGAGGGGAAACGGCAUUGAGUGCUUGCACUCUUUGGACGUCGACCGGCGCACGGGUGAGUAACGCGUAUCCAACCUUCCCAUUACUGUGGGAUAACCUGCCGAAAGGCAGACUAAUACCGCAUAGUCUUCGAUGACGGCAUCAGAUUUGAAGUAAAGAUUUAUUGGUAAUGGAUGGGGAUGCGUCUGAUUAGCUUGUUGGCGGGGUAACGGCCCACCAAGGCGACGAUCAGUAGGGGUUCUGAGAGGAAGGUCCCCCACAUUGGAACUGAGACACGGUCCAAACUCCUACGGGAGGCAGCAGUGAGGAAUAUUGGUCAAUGGACGGAAGUCUGAACCAGCCAAGUAGCGUGCAGGAUGACGGCCCUAUGGGUUGUAAACUGCUUUUGUAUGGGGAUAAAGUUAGGGACGUGUCCCUAUUUGCAGGUACCAUACGAAUAAGGACCGGCUAAUUCCGUGCCAGCAGCCGCGGUAAUACGGAAGGUCCAGGCGUUAUCCGGAUUUAUUGGGUUUAAAGGGAGCGUAGGCUGGAGAUUAAGUGUGUUGUGAAAUGUAGACGCUCAACGUCUGACUUGCAGCGCAUACUGGUUUCCUUGAGUACGCACAACGUUGGCGGAAUUCGUCGUGUAGCGGUGAAAUGCUUAGAUAUGACGAAGAACUCCGAUUGCGAAGGCAGCUGACGGGAGCGCAACUGACGCUUAAGCUCGAAGGUGCGGGUAUCAAACAGG